Molecule: ribosomal RNA, 226 nt
Filed under: uncultured bacterium
Lineage: Bacteria
Description: partial 16S ribosomal RNA
Rfam family: Bacterial small subunit ribosomal RNA
Source: RNAcentral
UGGCGGACGGGUGAGUAACGCGUAGGAACCUGUCGAACAGUGGGGAUAACGCUGGGAAACCGGCGCUAAUACCGCAUGUGGUCGGGCAACCGAAGAAAGCAUUUAUGCGCUGUUUGAGGGGCCUGCGUCCGAUUAGCUUGUUGGUGGGGUAAAGGCCUACCAAGGCAUCGAUCGGUAGCUGGUCUGAGAGGAUGGUCAGCCACACUGGGACUGAGACACGGCCCAG